Molecule: long non-coding RNA, 2125 nt
Organism: Mustela putorius furo (domestic ferret)
Lineage: Eukaryota; Metazoa; Chordata; Mammalia; Carnivora; Mustelidae
Source: Ensembl
AGCACAUCUGAGCAGGGGGUAGGGCAGAGGGAGGAGAAAGAGAGAGAAUCUUAAGCAGACUCCCUGCUGAUUAUGGAGGCCACAGUGUGACUCAAUCUCUCCACCCAGAGAUCAUGACCUGAGCAAACACCAAGAGUUAAACACUUAACUGCCUGAGCCACCUAGGAGCCCCAAGAAAUGCUUAAAAUGUUAGACAAAGAGUCAAGAGUAAGUUCAACUGGGAACCCUUUAAAGACUGUGACAGUUCCACCAGGUAGUCCCACAACUGUGGCCACACCUGAGGUGGGAGGUCUGAGAAGAUGAGCAUAGCUUCAAGCAUUGCCCGUGAGUUUGGAGGUGACUCAGUUAUUCGGAGAGAAGAGGGAAAAAAGAAGGAAAUUCUGAUAUACACUACAACAUGGAAGAACCUCAAAAACACUGUGUACUAAAUGAACAAAGCAUGUCACGAAAGGGCAAACAAAAUUCCACGAUUCCACUCGUAUGCGGUGCCUUCAGUAGUCAAACUUAGCGAGACAGAGAGUGGAGGCCAGGGGCUAAGAGAAGGAGGGAGGUGGGGGGUGGAAAGGUGGGGGUUGGCUGGUGGGGAGUAGUUUAAGGGGUCGAGAGCUAACGUUUGGGAAGAUGAAAAGAUCUGCAGAUGGAUAGUGUGACGGUUGCACAACCACGUGAGUGGGCUUCGUGGCACUACACUUAAAAAAAUGGUAGUUAUCAUGAAUGAGUAUUUUACUGCCAUUUUUUACAAAGUGCUUGAAGAGUGUAAUGAGUUUAUGUGACGUGUAAUGCCGCUAGCGUGCAGUAGGGGGCAAAGGAGCUUCAGCUUCAACCGGAAAAGCUUGAUUUCCCGUGCCCCUGCAGGCAGUCCAGCCCAGUGGAUGAACCAUUCCCGCCUACAGCCCCUCUGGACCUGUGGCAAGCCCCAGCGUGAUCCAGAUUACUUUUGCCACCAACCUGAAGACAUAUGGCCCCAUAAGGACAGAAACCAUUCUGUUCAUUUCUGUGUUUUGGACUUUCCAUGUACACAGGUAAGUCUUGUUGAAAAUCAAAUAUUAGCUCAAAGGACUCGCUAUGUCCACCAAUAUAAAAGUUAGGGAGAACAAUAUCUUGACAUUAAUUUGGGAGCCCAUAGUAUUCAGUAAUUUAAAAAAAAUUACUUCAUUGAGAACUUAAAACCUGCACAUAAAUGUUUAUAGCCGUUGUAGUCUUAACUGCCAAAACUUGGAAGCAACCAAGAUGUCCUUCAGUAGAUGAAUGGAUAAAUGAACUAUGAAACAUCCAGAUAAUGGAAUAUUAUUCUGUGCUAAAAAGAAAUGAGCUAUCAAACUAUGCGAAAACAUGGAGGAACUUUGAAUGCAUAUUAGUAAGAGAAAGAAGCUGAACUGGAAAAUCUACAUACUGUAUGUUUCCAGCUAUAUGCUAUUCUGAAAAAGACAAAACUAUGGAGACAAAAACAAUUAAAAAAAAAGACAAAACAAUCAAAAGACAAAACAAUCAAAAAAAGACAAAACAAUCAAGAUCGGUGGUUGACAGGGGUUGUGGAGCAGGGGGAAGAUGAAUAAGCAGAGGACAGAGGAAUUUUAGGGCAUGAAUGAAUGCAUGAUGAUCAAUGCAAGUCAUUAUACAUUCAUCCAAACUCACAGAAUGUCCAACACCAAGAGUGUGAACUGUAAUGUCAGUUACAGAUGUCAAGUGAUGACAAUGCAUCAAUGUAGAUCGAUCAAUUGCAACAAACGAGCAACGCUGAUGGGGCAUGUUGAUAAUGGGGGAGGCCAGGCAUGCGUGGAGGUAGGGGGAUAUGGAAAGUCUCUGUACCUUCCCCUUUCCCUCAAUUUUGCUGUGAGCCUUAAGCUUCUCUAAAAGAGUAAAGUCUUAAAAUCUUUUACUUUCAGUUUUCUUAAAGCCCUCAGGCUAUCAAAAUGGCAUGGAAGGGAGAGUGUUGAAUAUGACCUGGCAAUGAAAUUCCUAAGUUGAACUGGGAAAAAGGCACUUCUGCCAACUAUUAUAUAUUUAUCUCCCUUGUGGGACUCCUGACUUGCCUCAGCGAUGAGGAUAUGGCACAGUAACUGGCUUGGAAAUCUAAAACCCAAGCUCUCAGAUCAAGUCAAAGACUCAAUGCAGUCAAUGUAGG